This 253-nucleotide ribosomal RNA is filed under the name uncultured bacterium. Its description in RNAcentral is "partial 16S ribosomal RNA". It matches the Rfam family "Bacterial small subunit ribosomal RNA", at positions 524 to 776 of the family's 1533-position model. The record is from RNAcentral.
GACAGAGGGUGCAAACGUUGCUCGGAAUCACUGGGCGUAAAGGGCGUGUAGGCGGGAAGAUAAGUCGGGCGUGAAAUCCCUGGGCUCAACCCAGGAACUGCACUCGAAACUGUUUUUCUUGAGUAUCGGAGAGGAAAGCGGAAUUCCUGGUGUAGAGGUGAAAUUCGUAGAUAUCAGGAGGAACACCAGCGGCGAAGGCGGCUUUCUGGACGAUAACUGACGCUGAGACGCGAAAGCGUGGGGAGCAAACAGG